Molecule: long non-coding RNA, 384 nt
Organism: Cucurbita maxima (winter squash)
Lineage: Eukaryota; Viridiplantae; Streptophyta; Magnoliopsida; Cucurbitales; Cucurbitaceae
Exons: 2
Source: RefSeq, a predicted model, not a curated record
AUCCAAGAACCCCUCCAUCAACUUCAUCCAAAAAUGGCUGAUUUUUGUCCUCCUGGAAAAAAUAUGUGGCCAGAGCUUGUUGGGAUUGAAUCGACGAUUGCAGAGUAUAUUAUCAGGAAAGACAAUUCCAAUGUGGAACGUGUUGAUACUAUCUUAGCUGGAAGUGGAGUGACUAAAGAUAUUAGAUGCGAUCGGGUUAGGAUGUUUGUUAAUAUUAAGGGAAUAAUUGUUGAAGUUCCAAGGAUUGGUUAGAAAAAACCAUCCAAAAAUGUUGAUGUAUUGACAAUGGUUUUCUAAAGUGUUAUUAUAAGCAAUAAGGGUAGAAGUAUUCAUAUCUAUUGAAUUCUACCAUUUCAAUAAUCAAUUCCCUUCGCAUUUGUAUUU